Small nuclear RNA from Panthera leo (lion), 108 nucleotides. Lineage: Eukaryota; Metazoa; Chordata; Mammalia; Carnivora; Felidae. The record is from Ensembl.
GUGCUCACUUUAGCACCACAUGUUAGUAAAAUUGGAGUGACACAGAGAAGAUUAGCACGGCCCCUGCACAGGGAUGACACACAAAUUCGUGAAGCUUCCAUGUUUUAA